UCUGUCACUGACGNUGAGGCUCGAAAGCGUGGGUAGCGAACAGGAUUAGAUACCCUGGUAGUNCACGCCGUAAACGAUGAGUGCUAGGUGUUAGGCCCUUUCCGGGGCUUAGUGCCGGAGCUAACGCAAUAAGCACUCCGCCUGGGGAGUACGACCGCAAGGUUGAAACUCAAAGGAAUUGACGGGGGCCCGCACAAGCGGUGGAGCAUGUGGUUUAAUUCGAAGCAACGCGAAGAACCUUACCAGGUCUUGACAUCCCGAUGCUAUUCUUAGAGAUAGGAAGUUACUUCGGUACAUCGGAGACAGGUGGUGCAUGGUUGUCGUCAGCUCAUGUCGUGAGAUGUUGGGUNNNNNNNNNNNAACGAGCGCAACCCUUAUUGUUAGUUGCCAUCAUUAAGUUGGGCACUCUAGCGAGACUGCCGGUAAUAAACCGGAGGAAGGUGGGGAUGACGUCAAAUCAUCAUGCCCCUUAUGACCUGGGCUACACACGUGCUACAAUGGUCGGUACAACGAGUUGCGAGCCGGUGACGGCAAGCUAAUCUCUGAAAGCCGAUCUCAGUUCGGAUUGGAGGCUGCAACUCGCCUCCAUGAAGUCGGAAUCGCUAGUAAUCGCGGAUCAGCACGCCGCGGUGAAUACGUUCCCGGGCCU
Molecule: ribosomal RNA, 649 nt
Filed under: uncultured bacterium
Lineage: Bacteria
Description: partial 16S ribosomal RNA
Rfam family: Bacterial small subunit ribosomal RNA
Source: RNAcentral